GGGCGGUUAGCUCAGUGGUAGAGCACUUCGUUCACACCGAAGGGGUCGUAGGUUCAAGUCCUAUACCGCCCACCA
This 75-nucleotide transfer RNA is filed under the name Armatimonadota bacterium. RNAcentral's name for it is "Armatimonadetes bacterium (activated sludge metagenome) tRNA-Val". It matches the Rfam family "tRNA". Rfam says of the family: Transfer RNA (tRNA) molecules are approximately 80 nucleotides in length. RNAcentral also lists the same sequence under 1 other name. The record is from RNAcentral. Lineage: Bacteria; Bacillati; Armatimonadota.